UGUCUUCACAGACAAAUAAUCCAAAAUCAGCCUAAGAGUGUGGAGUAAACAGCAUCAAGCCUCUCUUUAAUAGGGAACUCAUCUAUAAAAACAAACACUUGUUAUACUUUUAUGAAUUAUCAAGUUGUACAACACACAGCAAUAAGGAUUUAGACAAACAAUCACAGAUUUUAUUAAUUUUAUUGUUGUGUCUAAUAUAUAUAGAAACAACUUGUGUUGUAAAAGAAAGGAUGACAGCAUAUCUCUUUAUCACGUGCCAGUAUAGGCCCUGACUGCACGUGAGAACAUUUGAAUUAUCUGGCACGAGGCCUCACACGUCAUACUUCAACUGACACAACGGUCUCGAUGGGUAAGAUUUCGUUACCAUAUACAGUAAAUAUUGGUUCAAGAGGGCAGUUUGAUAACUCAGUCGAGGUUUGUAAAUGGGGUUUCUGUUCCUGCAGUCUUUCAGGGGUGCUGGCGCGUAUGACGAUGCGGACAUGAACAGCAUACUACAGUAUACCGCCACCUACUGUACUGUAGUACAAUAACGUCUUUUAAACAUCUAAACAUGUCCUCCAAAAAGGUUUCCUGUGCUGUUUUGCUCCAUUUUACUGAACAAAAUAAGGCUGAGGUAGCACCAUCCUUGUGGUUAGAGUGAAAGAAUGUGGGUAUUGAGACCAAAAUAAACAAUGUGCCAUUCUGGACAAACAGCUGUGGACAAUAUGCAGUCAGAGUAGCCCAUUUUCUCACACAGACCUGAGGAUAAGAUUUCCAGUUUGAAAGUGAAGAAAAUGAAUCAUUAUUAACAGCAAAUAGGAGUAUUUCUCAGCUGAAAAGCCAGGUGAAACUAUAAGGUCACUAUGAUUCACUUUCAUAUUAUCAUUCUUUUCAGAUUUUUUUCCCUGUGUUUUUUUUGUUAGAUGAGGAGCAACCAGUAAGAAAAAGCAAAAAGAUGUUUUGAUGUUGCCUGAGGCACCUUAUUUUCCAUUUCAUGCACAAUCACAAAUGCAGCACAUCAAUCAAUUUCUUCCAACCAGCGAAUCAAGAAAUCUUGGAGUGGAGAAUCAUUCUGAAAGUAGACCAAAUCCAGGACAACAUCACAACAGUGGUCGGAAAAAUGCAGCAAGCCAAGCUGACUUUCAAAAGAUGAUUCGUUAUCUGUUUCUUCAGAGGGGAGGCAGUUUGGGAGAUGGGAAUUAGGAGGAUGCUACAGUUACACAGGGCAAAUUUCAGCAGCUCAGUUUCAAACUUGCAACUAACAUUGAGUUAAACUGGUCAGGGUGGAAGACCAGCUGACGUACCAGUUUUGCCAGGUUAAAGGACCAGCUUAAACCAGCUAAGACAGCCAACCAACUUAGCCAAGGUGGUAUAUGCUGGUGGGUCAGCUGGUCUUCCCGCCUGACCAGCUAAGACCAGCUACAAAGUGGCCAAAACCUCUGUAAAACAAUCCUGCUACACCAGCCUGACCAGCUGAAACCAUACUGGGAGUUAGAAGACCACGGAAAUAUUUGACAUCGGAGUCCAGCAGACAGCCAGAGACACGCACACACACGCAGCUGAAGCGCGUUUGACUGACGCGUACGGGAGAUCCGGCACGCGCACGGGAGCUCGCGCACGCUCACACAAACACGGAGCACAGGAUAAUUACAACUGUUUAAUUAAAAUAAAAGAACUUUGUGGUAUACAAUGUUUAGCGUGUCUGAUUUCAUUGGUUAGCAAGGAAAUAAACGACGUGCUGAGGACUUUAGGCGAACGUCCCCUAAAAGUCCCGAAAGUCCGCUGACCGUCCCGCGAACGUCCUCGCAAAAGUCCGGAGGACGUCCUCGCGGAAGUCCGCUCGACGUAACGGGAACCAUACACGAUGACGUUCGGGGGACGUUCGCCUAAAGUGCUUAGCAUGUUAUUUAGCUUACAAAAAAGGUCCCCAUGACGUCCCCUAAAAGUCAAUAAAGUCCCCAAAGCGUCAUUUUGAACGUCCGGAAGACGUUUUUGCGGACGUUCGCAGGACGUCAAAAGAACCCUACACGAUAACGUCCGGGGGACGUUCGCAGAUGCCAUUUAGGGG
Non-coding RNA from Paramisgurnus dabryanus, 2047 nucleotides. NCBI's taxonomy places the organism in Eukaryota, Metazoa, Chordata, Actinopteri, Cypriniformes, Cobitidae. The record is from RefSeq and is a predicted model, not a curated record.